GAGGCAGCAGGUGGGGAAUAUUGCGCAAUGGGCGGAAGCCUGACGCAGCGACGCCGCGUGGGGGAUGACGGCCUUCGGGUUGUAAACCUCUUUCACCCAUGACGAAGCGAAAGUGACGGUGGUGGGAGAAGAAGCACCGGCCAACUACGUGCCAGCAGCCGCGGUAAUACGUAGGGUGCAAGCGUUGUCCGGAAUUAUUGGGCGUAAAGAGCUCGUAGGCGGUUUGUUGCGUCGGCUGUGAAAACCUGAGGCUCAACCUCAGGCCUGCAGUCGCUACGAGCAGACUAGAGUGUUGCAGGGGAGACUGGAAUUCCUGGUGUAGCGGUGAAAUGCGCAGAUAUCAGGAGGAACACCGGUGGCGAAGGCGGGUCUCUGGGCAACAACUGACGCUGAGGAGCGAAAGCGUGGGGAGCGAACAGGAUUAGAUACCCUGGUAGUCCACGCCGUAAACGUUGGGCGCUAGGUGUGGGGCUCAUUCCACGAGUUCCGUGCCGCAGCUAACGCAUUAAGCGCCCCGCCUGGGGA
This 525-nucleotide ribosomal RNA is filed under the name uncultured bacterium. Its description in RNAcentral is "bacterial SSU rRNA". It matches the Rfam family "Bacterial small subunit ribosomal RNA", at positions 345 to 879 of the family's 1533-position model. The record is from RNAcentral.